Molecule: unclassified non-coding RNA, 372 nt
Filed under: uncultured Gammaproteobacteria bacterium
Lineage: Bacteria; Pseudomonadati; Pseudomonadota; Gammaproteobacteria
Description: contains 16S-23S intergenic spacer region
Source: RNAcentral
UCCGGCUUGUCACCGGCAGUCUCCUUAGAGUGCCCUUGCGUAGCAACUAAGGACAAGGGUUGCGCUCGUUGCGGGACUUAACCCAACAUCUCACGACACGAGCUGACGACAGCCAUGCAGCACCUGUGUUCCACUUCUCUUGCGAGCACCCCCGAAUCUCUUCAGGGUCAUGGACAUGUCAAGGGUAGGUAAGGUUUUUCGCGUUGCAUCGAAUUAAUCCACAUCAUCCACCGCUUGUGCGGGUCCCCGUCAAUUCCUUUGAGUUUUAAUCUUGCGACCGUACUCCCCAGGCGGUCAACUUCACGCGUAAGCUUCGCCACAAGGGUCCGAAAACCCCAACAGCUAGUUGACAUCGUUUAGGGCGUGGACUAC